ACUCGUAUAUAUUGCGGUUUUUAUCCAACGCAAUCAUAGGUUUGAACUUAGUUUUCAAUUUAGACUCGUAUAUAUAUAGUCUAAAUUGAAAACUAAAUUCAAACCUAUGAUUGCGUUGGAUAAAAACCGCAAUUUUUAUACGUGU
RNAcentral lists this small RNA (145 nucleotides) under Mytilus galloprovincialis (Mediterranean mussel). The record is from RNAcentral. Lineage: Eukaryota; Metazoa; Mollusca; Bivalvia; Mytilida; Mytilidae.